Cavia porcellus (domestic guinea pig) is the source of this 64-nucleotide non-coding RNA. NCBI's taxonomy places the organism in Eukaryota, Metazoa, Chordata, Mammalia, Rodentia, Caviidae. The record is from Rfam.
GGGGAUUUAGUUCAGCGGCAUAAGCGCCUGCCUUGUAAGCAGGCAGUUGUGAGUUCAAUCCCUG